This 433-nucleotide ribosomal RNA is filed under the name uncultured bacterium. Its description in RNAcentral is "partial 16S ribosomal RNA". It matches the Rfam family "Bacterial small subunit ribosomal RNA", at positions 29 to 507 of the family's 1533-position model. The record is from RNAcentral.
AACGAACGCUGGCGGCAUGCCUAACACAUGCAAGUCGAACGAGACCUUCGGGUCUAGUGGCGCACGGGUGCGUAACGCGUGGGAACCUGCCCUUAGGUUCGGAAUACCUCCCCGAAAGGGGUGCUAAUACCGGAUAAUGUCUUCGGACCAAAGAUUUAUCGCCUUUGGAUGGGCCCGCGUUGGAUUAGCUAGUUGGUAGGGUAAAAGCCUACCAAGGCGACGAUCCAUAGCUGGUCUGAGAGGAUGAUCAGCCACACUGGGACUGAGACACGGCCCAGACUCCUACGGGAAGCAGCAGUGGGGAAUAUUGGACAAGGGGCGAAAGCCUGAUCCAGCAAUGCCGCGUGAGUGAUGAAGGCCUUAGGGUUGUAAAGCUCUUUUACCCGGGAUGAUAAUGACAGUACCGGGAGAAUAAGCUCCGGCUAACUCCGUG